RNA transcript from Coregonus clupeaformis (lake whitefish), 3490 nucleotides. It is a transcript of the gene named ubiquitin carboxyl-terminal hydrolase 33-like, with no coding region annotated. The transcript has 24 exons. NCBI's taxonomy places the organism in Eukaryota, Metazoa, Chordata, Actinopteri, Salmoniformes, Salmonidae. The record is from RefSeq and is a predicted model, not a curated record.
UCCACAACCUGGAAGUUUUGCGUUACAAUCCAACGGUUUCUCGUUCCACUGUGACAUUUCGAAGGCUUACGGUUUGAAAUAAUGUCACAGAUACGUCUUUAAUUGCCGUGUUAGUUUUCAAGAUAACAGGAGCCGUUCUUCCGAACUGUAACUUCAAAAGAGUACAGGUGAGGUACAGGUGCAGGUGAGUGAUGCCUGUGUGUUCUAGCAGUGACUGUCCCCAUCUGCAGUGUGUAGGAGAGAUCACCAAGGAAGAACUCAUCCACAAGUCACAUGGCCAGUGUCAAGACUGCAAGAUUGGAGGACCAAAUCUGUGGGCGUGUCUGGAGAACCGCUGUGCGUAUGUGGGCUGUGGAGAAUCUCACGCUGACCACAGCACCGUCCACUCACAGGAGACGGGGCACAACCUGACAGUGAACCUGACCACCCUGAGGGUGUGGUGUUAUGCCUGUGGGAAAGAGGUGUUCCUGGAACGUAAACUGGGCCCUCACUCCCCUGUCCCCAGCACGAAGACCCUAACAUCACCUCACAACAACAACAACACACAGGAGUGUAGCAGGGUGCAGGGCCGCUCCACCUCUCUGAGACUGCCCCCUGCUGGUGGCUGUGAAGACCUGGGCAUGGAGACCGAGGAGGAGGACGAGCUCCGCGCCAGAGGGCUGACUGGACUGAAGAACAUAGGAAACACCUGCUAUAUGAACGCAGCCCUGCAAGCCCUGUCUAACUGUCCUCCUCUGACCCAGUUCUUUGUGGAGUGUGGAGGUCUGGUGAGGACAGACAAGAAGCCUGCUCUGAGUAAGAGCUACCAGAAACUGGUGUCAGACCUCUGGCACAAGAACAGGCCAUCCUAUGUUGUCCCUACCAGUCUGUUCCAGGGGAUCAAGGCUGUUAACCCCAUGUUCAGAGGAUACUCACAACAGGACUCUCAAGAGUUCCUGCGCUGUCUGAUGGACCAGCUCCACGAGGAACUGAAGGAGCCGCUGGCCGAGCCCCCCGACAACGACCUACACUCUCACGCCAUCGCCAUGGACGACGGCCCCGACGACGACAGCCCCAGCCAGUCGGACAACGACUUCCAGUCGUGCGAGUCGUGCGGCAGCAGCGAGCGGGCGGACAGCGAGGGCCAGGGUGGGAGCGGAGACGGGCAGGCGGCGCCAUCGGGGGAGGAGUCUAAGGAAGCGGAGAUGCUGAUCCCUGAUGGGCCUGACUCCUCCCUCUCCUCCGGCCAGACCAAUAGGGAGUGGCAGAAAGAGAAGAACCUGAUCAACGACCUCUACCGGGGGUCGGGGGGCGCGGGGCCUUCAGGGGGAGACCUGGAUAAAGACGUGGAUGCCACUCCCACCAACGAGGCCACGCCCAUCAGCAACCAGGGGGCAAUCAAAGUCCAGAUAGAGGGACGCAUGGCUGAGGUUCAGGUAGUGUCCAGAAGCAACCGAUCCCAGAGUCCAAUCCCCAUGGAGGGACACUGCCUCACCAAGAUCUCCUCCAGCCCCCCCAAGACUAACUCUGUCUGGCCAGGAAUAUCCUCCAGCCCCCCCAAGACUAACACUGUCUGGCCAGGAAUGUCCUCCAGCCAUAAGAAAGUGACCUCACUCUCCUCAGCAAAGAGCCAGAAGUACCGCAGUGUGAUAUCAGACGUGUUUGAUGGGACCAUUGUCAGCUCAGUGCAGUGUCUGACCUGUGAUAGGGUGUCAGUGACUCUUGAGAACUUCCAGGACCUGUCCCUGCCCAUCCCAGGCAAGGAGGACCUGGCUAAGCUCCACUCCUCCUCCCACCAGACCUCUCUGGUCAAGGCUGGCUCCUGUGGAGAGGUCUACGCAGCCCAGGGAUGGGUCGCCUUCGUCAUGGAAUACAUCAAAAGCUGGUUCUGGGGUCCUGUGGUGACCCUACAGGACUGUCUGGCUGCCUUCUUCACCAGGGACGAGCUGAAAGGUGACAACAUGUACAGCUGUGAGAAAUGCAAGAAAUUACGGAAUGGAGUGAAAUUCUGCAAAGUUCAGAGUUUGCCAGAGAUCUUGUGCAUCCACCUGAAGCGGUUUAGACAUGAGCUGAUGUUCUCCACUAAGAUCGGGACUCACGUCUCCUUCCCAUUGGAGGGCCUGGACCUGCAGCCCUUCCUGGCCAAGGAUAGGUCCGCCCACACCACCUCCUACGACCUGCUGUCUGUCAUCUGUCACCAUGGCACCGCCAGCAGUGGUCACUACAUAGCCUACUGCAGGAAUGACCUGAACAACCUGUGGUAUGAGUUUGAUGACCAGAGGGUCACCGAGGUGUCAGAGUCCUGCGUCCAGAACGCUGAGGCCUACGUCCUCUUUUACAAGAAGAGCAACGAGGACGCUCCGAAGGAGAGGAGGAGGGUGACCGGUCUACUCAGCAUGACGGAGGCCAGUCUGCUACAGUUCUACGUCUCCAGACAGUGGCUCAACAAGUUCAAGACCUUCGCUGAGCCUGGACCGAUCUCCAACGACGACUUCCUCUGCUCACACGGAGGUGUGCCACCUGCCAAGGCAGCGUUCAUCGAUGACCUGGUAGUGAUGCUGCCUCAGAAUGUGUGGGACCACCUCUACAGCAGGUACGGAGGAGGGCCUGCUGUCAACCACCUGUACGUGUGUCACACUUGUCAGACAGAGAUUGAGAAACUGGGAAAGAGACGCAAGACAGAGCUGGACAUGUUUAUCCGGCUGAACAAGGCGUUCCAAGAGGAGGAGUCUCCACUGAUCAUAUACUGCAUCAGCAUGCAGUGGUUCAGAGAGUGGGAGGGCUUCGUCAAGGGAAAGGACAAUGGUGAGUGGUUGGUUCAGAGAGUGGGAGGGCUUCGUCAAGGGAAAGGACAAUGGUGAGUGGUUGGUUCAGAGAGUGGGAGGGCUUCGUCAAGGGAAAGGACAAUGGUGAGUGGUUGGUUCAGAGAGUGGGAGGGCUUCGUCAAGGGAAAGGACAAUGGUGAGUGGUUGGUUCAGAGAGUGGGAGGGCUUCGUCAAGGGAAAGGACAAUGGUGAGUGGUUGGUUCAGAGAGUGGGAGGGCUUCGUCAAGGGAAAGGACAAUGGUGAGUGGUUGGUUCAGAGAGUGGGAGGGCUUCGUCAAGAAAAAGGACAAUGGUGAGUGGUUGGUUCAGAGAGUGGGAGGGCUUCGUCAAGAGAAAGGACAAUGGUGAGUGGUUGGUUCAGAGAGUGGGAGGGCUUCGUCAAAGGAAAGGACAAUGGUGAGUGGUUGGUUCAGAGAGUGGGGGGGCUUCGUCAAGGGAAAGGACAAUGGUGAGUGGUUGGUUCAGAGAGUGGGAGGGCUUCGUCAAGGGAAAGGACAAUGGUGAGUGGUUGGUUCAGAGAGUGGGAGGGCUUCGUCAAGGGAAAGGACAAUGGUGAGUGGUUGGUUCAGAGAGUGGGAGGGCUUCGUCAAGGGAAAGGACAAUGAUCCACCGGGACCAAUCGAUAACUCCAAGAUCGCGAUAAACAAGAAUGGCCAUCUAACACUCAAACAAGGAGCUGACUCAGG